AACGAACGCUGGCGGCAGGCCUAACACAUGCAAGUCGAACGCCGUAGCAAUACGGAGUGGCAGACGGGUGAGUAACGCGUGGGAACCUUCCCUAUGGUUCGGAAUAGCUCAGGGAAACCUGGGGUAAUACCGGAUAAGCCCUUCGGGGGAAAGAUUUAUCGCCAUUGGAUGGGCCCGCGUCGGAUUAGCUAGUUGGUGGGGUAACGGCCUACCAAGGCGACGAUCCGUAGCUGGUCUGAGAGGAUGAUCAGCCACACUGGGACUGAGACACGGCCCAGACUCCUACGGGAGGCAGCAGUGGGGAAUAUUGGACAAUGGGCGAAAGCCUGAUCCAGCCAAGCCGCGUGAGUGACGAAGGCCUUAGGGUUGUAAAGCUCUUUUGCCGGGGAAGAUAAUGACGGUACCCGGAGAAUAAGUCCCGGCUAACCUCGUGCCAGCAGCCGCCGUAA
RNAcentral lists this ribosomal RNA (449 nucleotides) under uncultured bacterium. Its description in RNAcentral is "partial 16S ribosomal RNA". It matches the Rfam family "Bacterial small subunit ribosomal RNA", at positions 29 to 523 of the family's 1533-position model. The record is from RNAcentral.